ACUCCUACGGGAGCAGCAGUGGGGAAUAUUGCACAAUGGGCGCAAGCCUGAUGCAGCCAUGCCGCGUGUAUGAAGAAGGCCUUCGGGUUGUAAAGCACUUUCAGCGGGGAGGAAGGCGAUGAGGUUAAUAACCUUGUCGAUUGACGUUACCCGCAGAAGAAGCACCGGCUAACUCCGUGCCAGCAGCCGCGGUA
This 194-nucleotide ribosomal RNA is filed under the name uncultured Klebsiella sp. RNAcentral describes it as "partial 16S ribosomal RNA". It matches the Rfam family "Bacterial small subunit ribosomal RNA", at positions 335 to 522 of the family's 1533-position model. Lineage: Bacteria; Pseudomonadati; Pseudomonadota; Gammaproteobacteria; Enterobacterales; Enterobacteriaceae. The record is from RNAcentral.